This 253-nucleotide ribosomal RNA is filed under the name uncultured bacterium. Its description in RNAcentral is "partial 16S ribosomal RNA". It matches the Rfam family "Bacterial small subunit ribosomal RNA", at positions 524 to 776 of the family's 1533-position model. The record is from RNAcentral.
UACGUAGGGUGCAAGCGUUAAUCGGAAUUACUGGGCGUAAAGUGUGCGCAGGCGGCAGAGCAAGUCGAGUGUGAAAUCCCCGGGCUUAACCUGGGAAUGGCGUUUGAAACUACGGAGCUGGAGUGUGGCAGAGGGAGGUAGAAUUCCACGUGUAGCGGUGAAAUGCGUAGAUAUGUGGAGGAAUACCGAUGGCGAAGGCAGCCUCCUGGGCCAACACUGACGCUCAUGCACGAAAGCGUGGGGAGCAAACAGG